RNAcentral lists this ribosomal RNA (1411 nucleotides) under Hymenobacter sp. RNAcentral describes it as "bacterial SSU rRNA". It matches the Rfam family "Bacterial small subunit ribosomal RNA". The record is from RNAcentral. Lineage: Bacteria; Pseudomonadati; Bacteroidota; Cytophagia; Cytophagales; Hymenobacteraceae.
CGCUAAUACAUGCAGUCGAACGGGCGGUAGCAAUACCGCUAGUGGCGCACGGGUGCGUAACGCGUAGGCAAUCUGCCUACUCCUGGGGGAUAGCCCGCCGAAAGGUGGAUUAAUACCGCAUAAGACUACAGAGCGGCAUCGUUUAGUAGUUAAAGAAUUUCGGGAGUAGAUGAGCCUGCGUGCCAUUAGCUAGUUGGCGGGGUAAGGGCCCACCAAGGCGACGAUGGCUAGGGGAGCUGAGAGGCCGAUCCCCCACACUGGCACUGAGAUACGGGCCAGACUCCUACGGGAGGCAGCAGUAGGGAAUAUUGGGCAAUGGAGGAGACUCUGACCCAGCCAUGCCGCGUGACGGAUGAAGGCCUUCUGGGUUGUAAACGUCUUUUGCCCGGGAAGAAAAAACUCUUGCGAGAGGAAUCGACGGUACCGGGUGAAUAAGCACCGGCUAACUCCGUGCCAGCAGCCGCGGUAAUACGGAGGGUGCAAGCGUUGUCCGGAUUUAUUGGGUUUAAAGGGUGCGUAGGUGGCCCUGCAAGUCCGUGGUGAAAGCCUGCUGCUCAACAGCAGAACUGCCAUGGAUACUACAGGGCUUGAGUCCAGACGAGGUUGGCGGAAUGGAUGGUGUAGCGGUGAAAUGCAUAGAUACCAUCCAGAACCCCGAUUGCGUAGGCAGCUGACUAGGCUGGUACUGACACUGAGGCACGAAAGCGUGGGGAGCGAACAGAUUAGAUACCCUGGUACACGCCAAAUGGGAUGCUCGCUGUGGGCGAUACACAGUCCGCGGCUUAGCGAAAGCGUUAAGUAUCCCACCUGGGGAGUACGCCGGCAACGGUGAAACUCAAAGGAAUUGACGGGGGCCCGCACAAGUGGUGGAGCAUGUGGUUUAAUUCGAUGAUACGCGAGGAACCUUACCGAGGCUAGAAUGCGCGUGACCGGUUCAGAGAUGGACCUUUCCUUCGGGACACAAAGCAAGGUGCUGCAUGGCCGUCGUCAGCUCGUGCCGUGAGGUGUUGGGUUAAGUCCCGCAACGAGCGCAACCCCUAUGUUUAGUUGCCAGCGGAUUAUGCCGGGGACUCUGACGACUGCCUGCCAAGCAGCGAGGAAGGCGGGACGACGUCAGGUCAUCAUGGCCUUACGCCUCGGGCUACCCGUGCUACAAUGGACGUACGAGGGUCGCCACCUGGCAACGGGGAGCCAAUCUCAAAAGCCGUCUCAGUUCGAUCGGGAGUCUGCCAACUGACUCCGUGAAGCUGGAAUCACUAGUAAUCGCGUAUCAGCAACGACGCGGUGAAUACGUUCCCGGGCCUUGUACACACCGCCCGUCAAGCCAUGGAAGUCUGGUGGACCUGAAGCUGGUGCUCGUCACAGAAGCCAGUUAGGGUAAAACGUACGGGCUAUCGAACAAGGUAACCAA